RNAcentral lists this long non-coding RNA (249 nucleotides) under Malus domestica (apple). Its description in RNAcentral is "long non-coding RNA (MDOM_LNC019312)". The record is from RNAcentral. Lineage: Eukaryota; Viridiplantae; Streptophyta; Magnoliopsida; Rosales; Rosaceae.
GUCACGAAUUCCACCGGCAAAUACCUCAUGACAGUUGAUCAGAUAUUGGCUCUUUACACUGAAGCUGCCAAGCGGGGAUGAGUCACUAUGAAGGAAUGUUCUGAAGGACCAUUUAAAUGCAAAGGUUGCACACCACUUCUGCCAUGCAAAAGAUUGAAGCAGAAGGUUCAACGGUGGGCUGAAACAGAUCACUACAGCACGACACCUUUCCAUACCACAUUCAUUAUUCCGUCAACAGCAAAAGUAUCC